Molecule: ribosomal RNA, 491 nt
Filed under: uncultured bacterium
Lineage: Bacteria
Description: partial 16S ribosomal RNA
Rfam family: Bacterial small subunit ribosomal RNA
Source: RNAcentral
AGUGAACGCUGGCGGUAGGCCUAACACAUGCAAGUCGAACGGCAGCACAGUAAGAGCUUGCUCUUACGGGUGGCGAGUGGCGGACGGGUGAGGAAUACAUCGGAAUCUACUUUUUCGUGGGGGAUAACGUAGGGAAACUUACGCUAAUACCGCAUACGACCUACGGGUGAAAGCAAGGGAUCUUCGGACCUUGCGCGAUUGAAUGAGCCGAUGUCGGAUUAGCUAGUUGGCGGGGUAAAGGCCCACCAAGGCGACGAUCCGUAGCUGGUCUGAGAGGAUGAUCAGACCCACUGGAACUGAGACACGGUCCAGACUCCUACGGGAGGCAGCAGGGGGUAAGAUUGGACAAUGGGCGCAAGCCUGAUCCAGCCAUACCGCGUGGGUGAAGAAGGCCGUCGGGUUGUAAAGCCAUUUUGUUGGGAAAGAAAAGCAGCAGGUUAAUACCCCGCUGUUCUGACGGUACCCAAAGAAUAAGCACCGGCUAACUUCGU